Non-coding RNA from Pelobates cultripes (western spadefoot toad), 228 nucleotides. The record is from the annotation of a GenBank genome assembly. NCBI's taxonomy places the organism in Eukaryota, Metazoa, Chordata, Amphibia, Anura, Pelobatidae.
GUUUAUAGGAAACUGCGCUCAGGGAAAAGGCAAGGAAUAUCCUCUCUUAUAAAAAAAAAAUUCAAAGCUACAGGUUACACAGAUUUAUGGAUUUAAUGGUUUAAAUAAGCCCCAUAAUGUAUUUUUAAAUUCAGUACUCCAAUUUUUUACUCCACCCUUGCCACUUUUAUUUAUUAUUGAAUCAAUGCAUCUCUAUGAGGAAAGUUCAGUGUUUCAACCCUGCUCCAG